UACGUAGGGUGCAAGCGUUGUCCGGAAUUAUUGGGCGUAAAGCGCGUGUAGGCGGCCAGGUAAGUCCGUUCUGAAAGCCCGGGGCUCAACCCCGGGAGGCGGAUGGAUACUGCUUGGCUCGAGUCCGGAAGAGGUGAGUGGAAUUCCCGGUGUAGCGGUGAAAUGCGCAGAUAUCGGGAGGAACACCAAUGGCGAAGGCAGCUCACUGGGACGGUACUGACGCUGAGACGCGAAAGCGUGGGGAGCAAACAGG
This 253-nucleotide ribosomal RNA is filed under the name uncultured bacterium. RNAcentral describes it as "partial 16S ribosomal RNA". It matches the Rfam family "Bacterial small subunit ribosomal RNA", at positions 524 to 776 of the family's 1533-position model. The record is from RNAcentral.